CUCGCCAUAUGCGCCUAGGCAUGCGCCUUGCUCCAAACGCAAGGCUCUAGAAAGGUGUGCCCUCUUUAUUUCCACUUUCGACAAGCACUUCUAUUGACAAAAAGCACUAUCACUCAACUAGAAAUUUGUUGAUCUAUUAGAAUCCAAUAUUGACGCAUUAGGAAGUUAUCGAAAUGAGUAUCGUUAGUGAUAACUAGUCGCCAAAAUCUCAUCAAAUCACUACACCUAGGAUCGCAAACCUUCUAUAUUUCCAUUUUUAGCACUGCCACUCUCUUAUUAUCUUUUUCAAAAUAAAAAUUGUUGCAUCUACACCUAUUUCAAGAUCUA
This 327-nucleotide unclassified non-coding RNA is filed under the name Hevea brasiliensis (rubber tree). Lineage: Eukaryota; Viridiplantae; Streptophyta; Magnoliopsida; Malpighiales; Euphorbiaceae. The record is from RNAcentral.